Molecule: long non-coding RNA, 784 nt
Filed under: Ananas comosus (pineapple)
Lineage: Eukaryota; Viridiplantae; Streptophyta; Magnoliopsida; Poales; Bromeliaceae
Description: long non-coding RNA (ACOM_LNC024838)
Source: RNAcentral
UAGGGUGCGUUUGGUUCGCGCUAUCUUUUAAAGAUUCUUAAUAAUUUAAUGGGAAUAAAAAAAUAUGACGGUUUUUGGCUAAACGCAUGGUUGGUAAUAUUGGAUUCACUUGGGAAUAAGAUUCACCCCAAAGUACUAAUCUCAUUCCGUUGAGGGAGGGUGUGUAUCCUCAUAUUAAUGGAUUAGGGUAAUCAUAAUAUGUCUAAUCUUUUUUUUUUCUUCCUAUCCGCCGGCUAAUUGAUAUUAUUUUUCUUUACACUCUAACCUUAUAUCUCUCUCUAAACUUAUUUUUCUCUCUAAAAUUCAACUUUUUUUUCUCUCUCUAAACUAAGCUUUCUCUCUCUCUCUUUUUAAAAUUUCAACUCUCUCACUCUCUCUAAUUUCGACUAUAUUUUUCUUUCUAUUUUUUUAACUAUACUCUCUCUCUCUCUCUAACUUAUACUCUCUCUUUCUUUUUUCUAAAAAGAUGUUGAAACUUUUGGUAACAUUAUCUAAAAUUAAUUAAUUAAAUUAAAUAAUUAAUUGUAUAUUUUUUGUAAUAUUAAAUAACAUGGCUAAUUAAUAUUACCGUGCAAACCAAACACAGGAAUUCCACAUUCUUAGUAAUAGGAUGAAUAUGAAUAAGAUUCUCGGAUAUCUUUUAAUCCUAGUAAUCUUUCAUAAUGCGAACCAAACGCAUCCUUAAAUUAUUUUAAUUUAUUUGAUUUCAGACAGUGACUGAUUUUUUUUAUUUUGAAAUUUGAAUGUGUUGCUUAUCUUUAUAAAUUUAAUUAAUAUAUUUUAU